GAACUGCUGAAGAGUCCCAAACUAGGACGAAACAGUUGUCCAGUAC
This 46-nucleotide non-coding RNA is filed under the name Trichobilharzia regenti. Lineage: Eukaryota; Metazoa; Platyhelminthes; Trematoda; Strigeidida; Schistosomatidae. The record is from RNAcentral.